Camellia sinensis is the source of this 2782-nucleotide non-coding RNA. The record is from RefSeq and is a predicted model, not a curated record. NCBI's taxonomy places the organism in Eukaryota, Viridiplantae, Streptophyta, Magnoliopsida, Ericales, Theaceae.
UUAAUCUUAAACUUUAAAUAAAUUUAUUAUGAAAGUCCACAAGGCUAAUAAUAAUAAUAAUAAUAAAACAAGGAGAGUAAUUAUUUUAGGGUUAAUAAUAUAAAUACAUAAAUAAAUAAAAACCUAAGUUCUUAUUAACACAGCCUCCGCAGCCGUGAGAAUGAGGGGGAAGGAGAAGAACAGCCACAGUCCAGGUCUUGGACUUAGGUUUCGUAGCUCUUGCUCUGGGCCACCAUUAUCACAGGUAAGAAAACUUCCAUUUCUCUCUCUAUUUUUCUGAAAUCUGGUUCUUCUCUGAUCUGAUGAGUGAAAUAGGUUUGAAUUCAGUUCUGAAAUGGUUUGAUUUUUAAAUUUCUUCCAUGAUUGAAAUGGGUUUCUGAAAUGAUCUUUAUUUUCUGAAAGGGGUUUCGGAAUGGUUUCUAUCAUUGCACCGUUUCAAAAAUGUUUCUCUGUGUAUAGCAAAGAUGAAUCAUGCUAUAUACUUUUUGUGUCUGCAAGGUGCUCGACAAAAUGUCACAAUGGCAUUGCAAAGAUGAGAUUUGUCAUCUCAGUUCUGUUAUUUCUUGUGUUCAUUUUAUUUGGAGUUCCUUUUGUACUCUAUUCAACCAGACAAGUUUUAUUAAUUGCUCCUGCACAAAUUAAGAGUUACUUGGUUGGAUGCAUCGCAAGUUCCGGGCGAAUGAACCACUGAAGGAUUUUAGUGUAGGGAAUUCUUGUACUUGUCUUUCAGGGCAGCCAUCACUGGAUGACCAACAGUACUACCCAAAGUCAAAUUUUGGCACUAAAUCCUUAGGCAAAGCACAAAGAGACAACCAUCUGUGAAAAUCAUUUGCCAGCCUAGAAGCAGCAAGAAUAGAAGCAGACGACUUUGAAGAAGAAUCUUCAGUUGUGAUUUCCGAGCUCUUGCAUGGCUUCCUUACCAUAGGUACUCUUGGUUCAGACCCAGUCAGCACAGACCCAUCAACGCCAACAUUUGCCAUAUCAGUUGAGAACAUAACUAAAAAAGAAACAGAAGUAACAGAGAAUGAACUGAAGCUUAUUAAUGAUGAGUAGGAGAAGGUGAUAGGGGCUGAAGGAGACGGUUGCAAUGACUCAUCUGGGAGAAACAAUCAUGUUAGUACUGGAAGAAACAUUUAUGUUAACACUGGAAGAAGCUGCCAUGGUAGCACCAUUACACUUAGAGAAAAGCCAUUGGAAGGCACAGAGACCAGUGGGAAUGGAACAACAAUCUGUCCACUCCAGAGCUAUCUGUUUGGAUCAGCAAUUGAGUUGCCAGAAACAACCACAGUGGUAAAGAAGGAACAUAGAACAUCGCUUGGGGAGCUGUUUCAGAGGACAAAAAUAGCAGAGGAAAAUUAUGUAGCCAAAAGCGAGAGGGGAGAAAAACGGACAGAAAAUGAGACAGAUAAAUCAGCCAUACACCUUAUGAAAAAGAUGCUGAAGAAAAGAAUGGUUCAUGGUUCUUCUCGGAGCUCCACCACAUCAACUGGGGGAAAUGUUGACUCUGCUUCAUCUGAGACAAAACUGCAUAAGGUAUGUGUACUUCUAGUUUAGACCUCUAUUACAUGAACUUGGGUGCAAUGCAUAUCAAAAUGCCGGACCCAACAAAUCUCAAAUUUAAGGUAUGCAAACUCUGCAAAAAAAGGUCAAUUUUUUUUUAAUAUUAUUUUUAAUAUAUUAUGUGAGACAAAAUGGAAACAUAUAGUGUCAAAAAGGCAUUUUACUUAUUUUACUUCAGUCAUUUGAUCUAUGUAGUGGUUUCACUACGUGGGACUAUUGCAAACUUUCUUGGAGUGUUGAGAUGCCAUUAUACCCUUAUAGUGUACUGAAUGUGCUUGUUCAUCUUUAAGAACUUGUUUAACUUAAGUGUUCUCCAGUUACGGUUACAUGCUCUCCAGUUACGGUUACAUGCUCCCUUUUCUGCCUAUGCAACAGGUUGAUCGACAAUUGUACUUUGUAGUUCUAAUUUAAGCUCAUUUACUUGACUAUGUUAGUCUCAUUUAUAGGGGCUGCUAUGGUUUUCCAUGGGUUUUAAUACUUCAUUGCAAGCUAGUAAUGGAAAUUUCAUUUUUUCAUUUCUUUCAGUGAUAGGACAAAAUAUUAUCUGUUGGCAUCCUUUGUUCUACACAUAAAGCAUAGUGAGUCCAAGGAUUCCGCUGUAAGCCCAAGAAUUUUGCUUUUUGGUCCUGCAGGUGAACAAGACCAUCGCCUUGUCCUAGAACAUUUUACGAUCUCUCUUACUCAAAAGAAGUUUGAGUUUGAGUGGAGAGAUUUUUGAGUGAUUUUUACCCAAAUUUAAAUUUGAUAUAGGUUUCAGUCAAGGGUUGGACAUGCCAUUAUAUCACUGUGUAUUCUAUAUUUAAUUUUCAUUUUGAGACUAAAUAGUUAUUGUUUGCCUUUUAUUUGUAAAUAUAUCAGAUUUAUCAUGAUAUGACAGCUCAUUUAUCUCACUAUUUUGUAUAAACGGGCCAUAAUUUGUAUCCAACGGGAAAUCAACUAAGGAGUGACUGCAGUGAUGUCCCGAUCAUACAAGCAUUGCAGAGAGUUGUUAAUUUGAACUGGAUAUCUGGCCGAAUUCCACAAAAGAUAAUGUCAAUGUUCUUCAUGGAAGGAAACUCUGGCCAACCUCCCAAGCGUUCAGAAGUUUCUAGGAGCUCAAAUGGAGAAGAUGAUGGAGAAGAUGAUGAAGAAUGGUCACUGAUAUCUGAAAUGCACUCAAGGUUAGAAAUUUCUCGGUGAGAUGCAAAAUAUGGUCAAAGAAUUCAAGAACUUAAUUUUGCAA